Molecule: ribosomal RNA, 417 nt
Filed under: uncultured beta proteobacterium
Lineage: Bacteria; Pseudomonadati; Pseudomonadota; Betaproteobacteria
Description: bacterial SSU rRNA
Rfam family: Bacterial small subunit ribosomal RNA
Source: RNAcentral
GAGUUUGAUCCUGGCUCAGAUUGAACGCUGGCGGCAUGCCUUACACAUGCAAGUCGAGCGGCAGCGCGGGGGCAACCCUGGCGGCGAGCGGCGAACGGGUGAGUAAUACAUCGGAACGUGUCCUGUCGUGGGGGAUAACCAGUCGAAAGAUUGGCUAAUACCGCAUGACCUCGUAAGAGAAAAGCGGGGGAUCGCAAGACCUCGCGCGAUUGGAGCGGCCGAUGUCGGAUUAGCUAGUUGGCGGGGUAAAAGCCCACCAAGGCGACGAUCCGUAGCUGGUUUGAGAGAACGACCAGCCACACUGGGACUGAGACACGGCCCAGACUCCUACGGGAGGCAGCAGUGGGGAAUUUUGGACAAUGGGGGCAACCCUGAUCCAGCCAUGCCGCGUGUGUGAAGAAGGCCUUCGGUUGUAAG